CGCCUUCUAUACUAAUCAUUGAUAUUAUGUUGAUAGUCCUAAGUAUAAAGCUAAGCUUUAUUACAACUGUCACAUAAACUUAACAUUAACCAAGAUAACUAAACAAAGACCAAUGAACCUUGAAAAAGAAGUCUAGGUCAGAUGAACCAUGCCAGGCAGACAGGUACAGCUAACAAUGCUUCUAUACAACAUAUAUAGUUGACACAUU
RNAcentral lists this long non-coding RNA (208 nucleotides) under Mytilus galloprovincialis (Mediterranean mussel). Lineage: Eukaryota; Metazoa; Mollusca; Bivalvia; Mytilida; Mytilidae. The record is from RNAcentral.